Long non-coding RNA from Mauremys reevesii (Reeves's turtle), 1213 nucleotides. RefSeq lists it as uncharacterized. The record is from RefSeq and is a predicted model, not a curated record. NCBI's taxonomy places the organism in Eukaryota, Metazoa, Chordata, Testudines, Geoemydidae. The transcript is spliced from 6 exons.
AGCUGACAUCAAAACAGAUGACUUUGGCUUUUGAUGACUAAGAAGAUAGUUUGUACAGCAAAAAGAUCCUGUGUGACUAUGCAUUAAUUAGCAGUUUUGGAAACUAGGAUGGAAAUAAUGAUUGAAAGGGUUGGCCUAAUACCGAAGGACCUGUAGAGAAACCAAGUGACAUGAAACUUUAAGUAGUGUAAAAAAAAAUCCCAGUGAAAAAUCCUCCCCUCUGAACCAUGGCUGAUCAAAUGUGGAACAGACAUAACUGCAUCAAAGAAGCAUUCAGUGUCCUUAGCACCAUGGACAUGAAGAUGAGACAGAGAAGCACACUACUUCGUCAUAAGUUUUUAGAUCCUUAUCGUGGUUAUUCAGAAGACAUGUCAACUCAGCCAGAUUGUAGUUUGAAAUUCAUUAACAACAUAAAUUGUAGAAGAGUUAACCGCUGGCUGACACAUAAAAUACCAGAGGUGGUAGCUUUGGAAGACAUCUUCCCUUCAGAAGACCAAAAGUUCCUCCAUACAUCUUCAAACUGGGUCUCCCCAGCAACAGAAACCCAUGAUGAUGUUUCUAUGGAAACAGUAAUCGAUUUUAAAAUGCCAGGGGAUACAAUCUGUAAAGAGAAGAUGGAUUUUCCAACAAGACUUGUAAUGUCAUUUGAACUACCUAGGAACUCUGAAGUAAUUGCUGAUGCAAUGUGGCCGACACCUGAUCAUUCCUUACUUAUGGAUAUUGAUCCUUCAAAAUCCAGGGGAUUCCUAGAAAGCCCAGUCACAGCUGCUCUGCAACAACCCAUGCUAACAGAGUGUGAGGGUGACGUUACCAUGUGUGAGCAACCAAUAAUCAAGAGCAAACAAAUAUUUCCAAUUCUAGAGUUUGUUGGUGAAAAAUUAAGAGAAAAACUGCAUGUUGACCUAAACUGAGAUACAGCAGAACCCCACAGAUGUCUGCUUCGGUUACCAGAACCAAUCCUGAUGGGGGCAUCUCUUGGAUCCAACACCUUUGGUUCCAGUGAAGAGUUUGGUGCAAGAUAUGAUUAGUUCUAGCAGAGCCAAGCACUACUCUGGGUCCCCCUUGGAUCCCUCAGGUGACCCAUCAUUCAGAUAAUCGAGUCCUGAGACUAUCAUCUGUCGCCACUUCACUCUGAGCAUCAAUGAUCUUUCACAGCUUCAACUAUGGAUAACUUUUAAAAUAUCUCAGAUGAAAUAAAGCAUAAAGAAACAAA